Long non-coding RNA from Rhododendron vialii, 660 nucleotides. RefSeq lists it as uncharacterized. The transcript is spliced from 3 exons. The record is from RefSeq and is a predicted model, not a curated record. NCBI's taxonomy places the organism in Eukaryota, Viridiplantae, Streptophyta, Magnoliopsida, Ericales, Ericaceae.
UUACAAUAAGUAAUGAGGUGGUUGAUUAUGGUUAUCCUUUUACCCCCUGAAGGAGGGAAAGUUAGUUCAAAGAUGAGUACCAACAUCCAUUGCUUGACGUUUUGCAUGCUUUGCAGAAAAUAAAUCAGACCGGGAUCAAUUUUUGAAGCUUUGCAAGAGAAUCGAGUACACAAUUCGAGCUUGGUAUCUGAUACAAUUUGAAGAUUUGAUGGUAAGUACAAGUUUUCUUGUUAUCUCGAAUACUUAUUACUCCGUACCAGAUAGCCGAUACGUAAUCUUAAUGCUUAGCUCAAUUUAUUGAUCUAAUUUCCCUAUACUACGUAUAUGCAGCAUCUGCACUCUCUUUGACCCUAUCCAUGGGGCAGAGAAAUUGGAGCAGCAGAACUCCCGAGGAAAUUGAUGUUCUUGAACAGAACUUCCUUACUUACAUAUUCCAGAUAAUGGACGAGCAAUUUCAAGAUGACAACUGACGAAGAAAUUAAUCCUGUAGCUUCUGCCCAAUAUCUGUUUGCUCUUCCUAUCAAAGUUGAUAAAUCUAAGGACGACCACACAUCAAUGGCAUGACGAGGAACCAAAACGUUAGAGAACGUUUCUUAACUACCACAGAUAUGCUGAUUAGGCAGUUCAGAGGAUACAGUACAGAUCCGUGUUCCCACGUCC